GGGGCAUUAGCUCAGCCGGGAGAGCGCGUGGUUCGCAAUCACGAGGCCAGGGGUUCGAUCCCCCUAUGCUCCACCA
Molecule: transfer RNA, 76 nt
Filed under: Bacillota bacterium
Lineage: Bacteria; Bacillati; Bacillota
Also listed under: 4 other names
Description: tRNA-Ala
Rfam family: tRNA
About the family: Transfer RNA (tRNA) molecules are approximately 80 nucleotides in length. Their secondary structure includes four short double-helical elements and three loops (D, anti-codon, and T loops).
Source: RNAcentral